GCCUAAAGAAAGAAACUACUUGGGUGACACGGCAAAAGAGAGCUACGGUCAAGAAUAAACAAAGAUGAAGUCACAUAGCAGAGUUGUUUUCCAAGGAAUCUCUUAUAACCAAAAAGCCAAAAAAAAAAAAAAAAAAAUCAUUUGAAAGCCUAAAAAAGAAACUACUUAGGUGACACGGCAAUAGAGAGCUAGGGUCCAGAAUAAACAAAGGUUCAGUCACAUAAAUAGCAUAGCCGUCUUUCCAAGGAAUCUCUCAUUGAAACCACAGCCGGAGCUCGAGGUCCACCCUCGUCGUCUCUCUGGCUGAUUCCUGUGAGGUCUCUUGUUCAGCUUCAAGAGAAGCCAUCUCCGUGCGCACUGGAACCAAUGGUAUAUCAUGCCUCACUUGUUCAGCUUCGAGAAGAUCAAUCUCUUCAACCAAUGGUAUAGUUUGGUCCACAGACGGCCCUAGCCGAUCGAGGUCCACCGUCGUCGUCAUCGUCUCUAUGACUGAUUCAAGUGGAGUCCUCCUAUCAUGCCUCUCUUGUUCAGCUUCGAGAGGAUCCAUCUCUUCAACGAAUGGUAUAUUUAGGUCGAAAACCUCGGAAACUCUUGGUGGAGAUGGAACACAAAAUCGAGGAGUUCUACUUCUCGUUGGAAUUUUAGGAAGUCGCCUGAGUGCCACUUCACAUAGAGAUAACUCUCUAUGAAAGAAGGCAAGAUAGAGCUUCGUCCCAUCUUGGGAGUGGAAUGACCAUAGUCGAAAUAUCUGCCCUACCUUGUCCUUGAGGUUGUUCUCGCGGACGACGUGGUUCCAUCCAGAACAUAAGGCGUAAUUGGGACAGUUCAUAUUCCAUCUCCUUAGUUUAGCAUUCCAUCCUCUACCAUCCGAUGCGACCACUAUCACAGCAACACCUUUGUUACUACUAUUAUCUCUUUGAUGUUCAUCUAUGAGGUUCAACUCUGCUUCGUUCAAGAAGUCCAUCUCCACUAUCUGGUUAAAGGGAAUCAAGAGACGUCCUUGGUUUGGGUUGACAUCACUCGUCUGAAUCAUCUUAUCAAUCACCAGCUUCGCGUCCACACCCUUUUUUGUUAUCAUCAGAUUAUCCAGCCAUUCCGGUGUAACCCCUCUCUCUCUUUUGACCGGCUUUUUUCCUCUGACCGAAGGCUUAACUUCCCUAAGAGGCUCAGCUCUGAUGGGUUCUUCUUCUUCUUCAGAGCGUUGAUCAUCAUCACCAUCUGUCACCAUCUUUAUCGAAAACUAUAGUAGGAUUCUCUUUUAG
This 1262-nucleotide long non-coding RNA is filed under the name Brassica napus (rape). Its description in RNAcentral is "long non-coding RNA (BNAP_LNC015380)". The record is from RNAcentral. Lineage: Eukaryota; Viridiplantae; Streptophyta; Magnoliopsida; Brassicales; Brassicaceae.